Molecule: ribosomal RNA, 331 nt
Filed under: uncultured bacterium
Lineage: Bacteria
Description: partial 16S ribosomal RNA
Rfam family: Bacterial small subunit ribosomal RNA
Source: RNAcentral
CCUACGGGUGGCAGCAGUAGGGAAUAUUGCUCAAUGGGGGAAACCCUGCAGCAGCAACGCCGCGUGGAGGAUGAAGGUUUUAGGAUUGUAAACUCCUUUUGUUAGAGAAGAUAAUGACGGUAUCUAACGAAUAAGCACCGGCUAACUCCGUGCCAGCAGCCGCGGUAAUACGGAGGGUGCAAGCGUUACUCGGAAUCACUGGGCGUAAAGAGGGCGUAGGCGGGGUAGCAAGUCAGGUGUGAAAUCCUUUGGCUUAACCAUAGAACUGCAUUUGAAACUGUUAAUUUAGAGUAUGGGAGAGGGAAGGUGAAAUCCUGGGUGAAGGGGAAAA